RNAcentral lists this small nucleolar RNA (141 nucleotides) under Oryzias javanicus (javanese ricefish). Lineage: Eukaryota; Metazoa; Chordata; Actinopteri; Beloniformes; Adrianichthyidae. The record is from RNAcentral.
GAAGCACACCGUUAAAGCCGGGCACUGAUUGUGAGUGUUCUGGUGUCGGAAGUGUGCGAAAGCAACCGGGCCGGGGUUUCGCUAACACCAUGAGGGCGGCUGCCCUAUGACUGGGGUUUGAUAGUGACCUGAGCCACAGUU